This is a non-coding RNA of Acanthosepion pharaonis, 125 nucleotides long. The record is from the annotation of a GenBank genome assembly. Lineage: Eukaryota; Metazoa; Mollusca; Cephalopoda; Sepiida; Sepiidae.
UUACGGCCAUAUCCCGUUGAAACACCCGUUUCCGUAUGAUCAUCCGUACGAUCACCGAAGUUAAGCAACGUCGAGCCUUGUCAGUAUCUAGAUGGGUGUCCGUUUGGGAAUAUAAGGUGCUGUAC